RNAcentral lists this transfer RNA (52 nucleotides) under Pygoscelis papua (Gentoo penguin). RNAcentral's name for it is "tRNA-Glu". The record is from RNAcentral. Lineage: Eukaryota; Metazoa; Chordata; Aves; Sphenisciformes; Spheniscidae.
GCAACGGUGGCUUUUCAGGCCAUAGACCUUGGAGAGAAGCCAAGCGGGAACC